GAAGGAGUAUAAAACAAAUCUACUAGAAUGAUGGUUGACAGCCAAAAAAAACUGAGGAUGCUGUGACCCCUCAAUGGAUAUGCUAAUCAUCACAUCAGAAGCACAACUAGCUUCAAAUGGAAACCAGAUUGCACUUGGUCACUGACGAAGCAGGAGAUUAAACAAGCUACACUGUGUCUCUGGGAGAACAAAAAGCCAAAAGGCACAUUUAUCAACUCUGAAUCACAUAGAUGAAUUAAAGCAAGCCCAAUGAUGUGAUAAUGGGACAGAGAAAUGAAAGAAGGAAAUCUGCUGUAAGGAAGCUGUGGAAAUGAAUGAG
This is a long non-coding RNA of Pan paniscus (pygmy chimpanzee), 319 nucleotides long. NCBI's taxonomy places the organism in Eukaryota, Metazoa, Chordata, Mammalia, Primates, Hominidae. The record is from Ensembl.